This 131-nucleotide small nucleolar RNA is filed under the name Calidris pugnax (ruff). RNAcentral describes it as "Small nucleolar RNA SNORA69 (ENSCPUG00000001873.1)". It matches the Rfam family "Small nucleolar RNA SNORA69". From Rfam's summary of the family: U69 is a member of the H/ACA class of small nucleolar RNAs (snoRNAs) which act as guides in the the modification of uridines to pseudouridines. The record is from RNAcentral. Lineage: Eukaryota; Metazoa; Chordata; Aves; Charadriiformes; Scolopacidae.
AAAGCAGGCUGCAAUUACAGUGCUUCAUUCUGUGGGAGUACUGCCAUUUCCCUGCUGAGAGUAACUCUGCUAAUGCUGUCUUGGUUUCAUCUGUACGGUGCUGAAACCGUUUGUUCUUAGCACUUACAAGU